AAGUCAAGUACACAAAAAAUGCAUACGUCAUUUUUACUUUCGCUUUUAACUUGCAGCCGAGCUAUCGACAAUCAUUCAUUUGAAAGUGAUCAGGCUAUGUGUAAAUAUCUUCAAUGGCAGAAUCGGUAACAGGGUUUAGAUUAGAAAGUAGAGACGAAAAGUGUAUACGAGGUUGGGUUUUGUCAGAGGAAAUCCUUCAGCAAUUCAUUGAACAGUUGAAGUACUUUCAAUCAGCACGGGAUGUCAAUAUGUGUCGUGGUCAAUAUAUACCAGAUACCACACUUGUACAGUUCUGGAGAAUAACAUACUAAUGAGAAGCUGUUGAGAGAAUAUCCAGUUUUAGGCAUGCACAUCUUAAAUCAAUGUCUUAAUGAAGAAGGCCAUAUAUUCCUUGGUCUGUGUUUGGGAACUGGAAUGCCAAUUAAUAGAAGAGGCAGAGAAAAGAUCAGUCAACAAACAGAAAUGUCUAUGAAGAAGGCCAAAAGAAAACAAAACAAUUGAAAUGCAUACAUGUAUUGCAUGCUGGUAUUACUGUAUAAGUACUAAUUAUCUGCAAUCUUAAUGUCACAUUUAAUGCAUUGCUGAUGCAUGUAGUUACAAUAAACAUAACUGGUGUUAUAUUUGAAAUUUAAGAAUUUGUUUAAUUGUUACCAUAUGUGCAAGUUAAAGUGAAUUCUAUUUAACUAUAAAUUUUAAAGAAUUUAAAUGACAAUUAAUCGGUAAUCAUUUCUUAUAUAUUUUUGGGUCACCUGAGUUACUCAGGUGACCUAUUGCUAUCUCUUUUCGUCCGUCGCUGUGCGGCGUGUCAUCCAUCGGUCGUAAACUUUUGAACAUUUUCAGCUUCUUCUCUGGAACCAGUGAACCAAUUUCAACCAAUUUUGGCAUAUAGCAUCUAUGGAUGAAGGGGAACAAAAAUUGUGAAAUUUGUGGCUCCUGCCCCCCUGGGGCCUGAGGGGUGGAGCCAAAACCAUCAAAAUUAAUGCAAUCUUUAAAAAUCUCCUUUACUCCUGGGUAUUAUUUAAACAAAUUAAAUACAUAGUUAUGAUAAGCAAGGUUGCCUCUUCCAAAAUCGUGAAAUUCAUGGCCCCUGGAUCAGGGGUUCUGGUGUUAGGGUGGGGCUCUAUUGAUU
Molecule: long non-coding RNA, 1129 nt
Organism: Saccostrea echinata
Lineage: Eukaryota; Metazoa; Mollusca; Bivalvia; Ostreida; Ostreidae
Exons: 3
Source: RefSeq, a predicted model, not a curated record